This 48-nucleotide small RNA is filed under the name Arabidopsis thaliana (thale cress). Its description in RNAcentral is "ATSL155920". Lineage: Eukaryota; Viridiplantae; Streptophyta; Magnoliopsida; Brassicales; Brassicaceae. The record is from RNAcentral.
AUCAAGACAGUGAGAAGCGACAACGGAACAGAAUUUCUGUGUUUGACU